CCUACGGGAGGCUGCAGUGGGGAAUUUUAGAUAAUGGAGGGAACUCUGAUCUAGCGACGCCGCGUGCAGGAAGAAGGUCUUCGGAUUGUAAACUGCUGUGGUAAGGGAAAAAUGCUAUGUAGAGUGGAAAGCUACAUAGAGGGAUGGUACCUUACUAGAAAGCCCCGGCUAACUACGUGCCAGCAGCCGCGGUAAUACGUAGGGGGCGAGCGUUACCCGGAAUCACUGGGCGUAAAGGGAGCGUAGGUGGCCUAACAUGUCAACUGUGAAAACCCGGAGCUCAACUCCGGACUUGCAGUUGAAACUGGUAGGCUUGAGGACGGUAGAGGAAGACGGAACUGCCAGUGUAGGGGUAAAAUCCUUAGAUAUUGGCAGGAACGCCGGUGACGAAGGUGGUUUUCUGGGCCGGUUCUGACACUGAUGCUCGAAAGCCAGGGGAGCGAACGGGCUUAGAUACCCUUGUAGUC
Molecule: ribosomal RNA, 467 nt
Filed under: uncultured Thermotogaceae bacterium
Lineage: Bacteria; Thermotogati; Thermotogota; Thermotogae; Thermotogales; Thermotogaceae
Description: bacterial SSU rRNA
Rfam family: Bacterial small subunit ribosomal RNA
Source: RNAcentral